AGAACGAACGCUGGCGGCAUGCCUAACACAUGCAAGUCGAACGAGACCUUCGGGUCUAGUGGCGCACGGGUGCGUAACGCGUGGGAAUCUACCCUUGGGUUCGGAAUAACAGUUGGAAACGACUGCUAAUACCGGAUGAUGUCGCAAGACCACAGAUUUAUCGCCCAAGGAUGAGCCCGCGUAGGAUUAGCUAGUUGGUGAGGUAAAGGCUCACCAAGGCGACGAUCCUUAGCUGGUCUGAGAGGAUGAUCAGCCACACUGGGACUGAGACACGGCCCAGACUCCUACGGGAGGCAGCAGUGGGGAAUAUUGGACAAUGGGCGAAAGCCUGAUCCAGCAAUGCGCGUGAGUGAUGAAGGCCUUAGGGUUGUAAAGCUCUUUUACCCGGGAUGAUAAUGACAGUACCGGAGAAUAAGCUCCGGCUAACUCCGCGCCAGCAGCCGC
Molecule: ribosomal RNA, 444 nt
Filed under: uncultured soil bacterium
Lineage: Bacteria
Description: bacterial SSU rRNA
Rfam family: Bacterial small subunit ribosomal RNA
Source: RNAcentral